UGCAGUGGUUGUCGUCAGCUCGUGUCGUGAGAUGUUGGGUUAACGUCCCGCAACGAGCGCAACCCUUGUGUUUAGUUGCAAACAGGUCAAGCUGUGCACUCUAGACAGACUGCCGUGGACAACACGGAGGAAGGUGGGGAUGACGUCAAAUCAUCAUGCCCCUUAUGAUCUGGGCUACACACGUGCUACAAUGGCCGGUACAACGGGCAGCGAAGGAGCGAUCCGGAGCGAAUACCUAAAAAGCCCGGUCCCAGUUCGGAUUGCAGGCUGAAACUCGCCUACAUGAAGUUGGAGUUGCUAGUAAUCGCGAAUCAGAAUGUCGCGGUGAAUGCGUUCCCGGGUCUU
Molecule: ribosomal RNA, 345 nt
Filed under: uncultured Fusibacter sp.
Lineage: Bacteria; Bacillati; Bacillota; Clostridia; Eubacteriales; Fusibacteraceae
Description: bacterial SSU rRNA
Rfam family: Bacterial small subunit ribosomal RNA
Source: RNAcentral